GAUGAACGCUAGCUACAGGCUUAACACAUGCAAGUCGAGGGGCAGCAUGAUUGAAGCUUGCUUCAAUCGAUGGCGACCGGCGCACGGGUGAGUAACACGUAUCCAACCUGCCGAUAACUCGGGGAUAGCCUUUCGAAAGAAAGAUUAAUACCCGAUAGUAUAGUAUUUCCGCAUGGUUUCACUAUUAAGAACUUCGGUUAUCGAUGGGGAUGCGUUCCAUUAGAUAGUUGGCGGGGUAACGGCCCACCAAGUCAACGAUGGAUAGGGGUUCUGAGAGGAAGGCCCCCCCCAUUGGAACUGAGACACGGCCAAAACCCGUACGGGAGGCGGCAGGGGGGAAUAUUGGUCAAGGAACGGGAGUCUGAACCAGCCAAGUAGGGAGAAGGAUGCCUGCCCUAUGGGUUGUAAACUUUUUUUAAAGGGGAAAAAAGGGGAGUAUGCAUACUCUUUUGUUUGUACCGAAUAAAAAAGGAUCGGCUAACUCCGU
Molecule: ribosomal RNA, 487 nt
Filed under: uncultured bacterium
Lineage: Bacteria
Description: partial 16S ribosomal RNA
Rfam family: Bacterial small subunit ribosomal RNA
Source: RNAcentral